Molecule: long non-coding RNA, 330 nt
Organism: Bombus pyrosoma
Lineage: Eukaryota; Metazoa; Arthropoda; Insecta; Hymenoptera; Apidae
Exons: 3
Source: RefSeq, a predicted model, not a curated record
CGACAUACUUACUUGCACAUGUCGUGUAGUCUUUGCAUCGCUUCCACGAGAUCUUCGGAAUUCCUGGCAGCAGCCGCCCGAUCCAGUUGCUUUACGACGGCAGGCCACCAUGCUAGCCUACGAUCACUGAUUCACCGAUUUGAAACUAUCUAUGUAUACGUGCGAAAUUGGACUAUGAUUGGGUGAUGCACACACUACUAUGUGUAUUACUUGCGAGCAUACAUAUUGUAUUCUUUUAAAGAAUGGCAAGUAGUAUAAAUUUAAAACAAGCGCGAUGUGCCUACCGAAUCGUCGACACGGCAUACGUACGUUUACGCGCGAAUUGUCGCG